Non-coding RNA from Doryrhamphus excisus (bluestripe pipefish), 2829 nucleotides. Lineage: Eukaryota; Metazoa; Chordata; Actinopteri; Syngnathiformes; Syngnathidae. The record is from RefSeq and is a predicted model, not a curated record.
CAUGAGAGAGGGGCACGUUACUCGGCCACAUUGUAACUACAACAUGUUUAUUGUCCUCCAUCAGCCGAGAAUAAAGUGCAGCAACUGCGGCAACCCGGCGCGGAGUCAAACACCACCGGUUCCACUUGGUGCCGUGACGACCCGUUGCAUCGCCGACCAGCGCUCGUCUGGUCCCCGGGGUACGCUGCUCUGCUGGCCGCUACCGCUGCUGCUCGCCCCCUCCCUCCUCUGCUCCGGAAGACGACGACGGCGCGCGCUCCCGCGUGCACGCGAGGUGUGGUGACGCGCACGCUGUUUUGCCGUGUGUGCUACUUCGUUUUCUAGCAAGAUGAUGCAGACAACAGACUAUUGUGAUGUCCAGCCCACCAAUCAAAAAGCUCAUGGAGCUCUGGCCUGCUCUUCGUAUGCUGUCCGAGGUGUAUGCAGAAUUUCAACGCAUUACUAACCAGAACCUUCCCAAUACUUUCUAUGCCGAACUUGAUCGUCACACUCCACGUUUAAUGGCGUUAUUUCGGCAGAAAGCUUCCAGAACGGGCAAAACUGCAGACGCGUUGGCCGACAUUUUCAAAGUCCAUGAUACACAGGAGUCACAUGAUGUCCACACAAGGCGGGUCACUAUUCUCCAUGCCCUUCCUGUUUAUCUGCAUGAGGAAGUGUCUGGAUUUUUCAGAACAUGUGUGGAUGAUAUGGAUGAGCCAGACGUGGGGGAUGCGUCAGUGGUCCUCCUUGCAACCGUGAGUGACGAUGCCACAAGCCCAGUUCACUACCACCCAGCCAAAAUCUCUGUCAUCCUAGAGGGUUAGGACUGGGGAGGAAUGGUGCUCUUCCCUAAAAAUAGGAUGGUGUCCAUGGUUGCCCUAUCACAUCUAGGAAGGGUGGUAUUUCCCUUGGAACUGGUCGGUAGGAUAUAUAAGGAUAUCAUCGUGGGCUUAAGGAUUCCUUGGCAUAAAGAAAAGUGCAGAUUCUGUGAGGAGAUGCUUGAUACAGCUAGGGGAGCUAUGCAUCACCUCCGGAAGAAGCACAGAUCGAGAAGACUCCAAAUCUUCUGUAGAAGAUGCGCGGGGUGCUUCAAAACCGUACACACGGCUGCCUGUCAUGCCCCCAUAUGGGGGAGCCGCAGACAAAUAAUCCCGAUGCCUUGAAAUCAUGCUUGCGCUCACUGUUCCUGAAGUUUCUGAACUGCUGGAGGGCUGUCCCUGCAUUGUAGGAGCAAACAUCCCACCAUGUACUUCGCUGGUUCUAACGGACAGGAGCCGAGCAAGGGGACCAGAGUGAGAUGGAACGAGAAAGACACCAAAAAGCUGUGGGAAAUCAUAUGGUCCAAGCCAGCCAAUCUGGUCGAGUCGGUCAAACAGGUGAAGCCCAGGUUCACAAUAGCCCAAAUUGUGAACAAAAUAAAAUUUGAGCGUAAAAAGAGUCCUUGCCCCGACAUUACUGGAGAUGAAAGGCAUAGAGAGUGGCUUAAAGAGGAGCUCGAUAUAAACCCAGCUGGGGAUACCGUAAAGUUCAUAGAGGACUCCUCUAUGAGAAUAUGGAGAAAACUUGCUCCAGGUUACACGGAGACCUGGACGAGUUAACAAUUAAAAAGGUCGGGGCAGAGCUCAAAUUGCCAUUUGGCGGAUGGGUGGACACCAAUGGAAACUUCGACUGACCUUUAGCACCCAAGCUCUGAAUCGGGCUAGAAAACUGGCUAGAUUUUUAACAUGCUGCUUCUGGGUAGUGUGCCCAGGUGUAUGAAGCGCAGCCGUACCACCCUUAUUCCCAAAACAAGUGAUCCCGGAGGACUGGCAACCUAUCACUAUUGGGUCGGUGCUCCUCAGACUUUUCUCAGCAGCUUUGCAUAGCAGGGUCCGAGAGGUCUGUGCGCUCAAUCCCAGGCAAAGAGGAUUCAUCCAAGUCCGGAGCAGUUCUGAAAACAUGUUACUUCUGAGUGGCAUUAUAUGACAUUCUGCUGCUAAAAGAAAGGUUCUCGCGGUUGUGUUCAUUGACCUUGCAAAGGCCUUUGACACGGUGGCCCACAAACUCAUCAUUGAAGCCCUCCAUCGUCGGGGGGUAGAUGUUUUCCUGCUGGAGCUCAUUCAAAAUCUGAUAAAGGGUGCACGUCUACAGUGGAGACCAAUGUUGGCUGGACCAAUCGGAUAAGAAUUGAGAGUGGUGUCAAGCAGGGUGACCCACUCUCCCCCUUGCUCUUCAAUAUUGCGCUAGAUCCACUGCUGGUGUUGGAAACGCAGGGGAAGGGAAUGAGAGUGGGGUCUGCGUCCAUGACCUCCUUGGCAUUUGCUGACGACCUAGUGUUGCUCAGUGGAUCCUGGGCUGGCAUGGAACGGAACCUCAUCAUUCUGGAAACUUUCCUGGAAUUGACGGGACUUAGGGUCAAUGUUGAUAAGUGCUGUGGAUUCUUGCUGAGGCCCAGGCAUGAUAGGAAACUGUGUGGCACCGACCCAUGGUGGAUAAGGGGCGAGACUAUCCGCAUGUUGGGCACCCAAGAUCAGGUAAAAUACCUUGGGAUUACUAUCAGCCCCCUUAUGGGGGCAUGCCCCACUGACAUCAGGGCUUCAUUGGACAACAUGGCCCAGAGCAUUGCUAGCGCUGAUCUGAAACCCACACAACGACUGCAUGAGAGAAAUGUUCUAUAUAUCAUACUAAAUUGUGUUUGUGUGUGUGUGGAGGUGGAGGGAGGGGGUGUGUCUCACUGCAGAGGGGCAGUCAUCACAUCGAUGCUAAACUUAAACGACAACAGAAAUGUUUUGCACAUGGUUAAAUAUUUAUUCAUUUUAAAGUUGAUAAUGCCGUUUAAAUGUGUGUUUAAGAAAGCUGAAUCCUACUGUG